Molecule: ribosomal RNA, 254 nt
Filed under: uncultured bacterium
Lineage: Bacteria
Description: partial 16S ribosomal RNA
Rfam family: Bacterial small subunit ribosomal RNA
Source: RNAcentral
UACGGGGGGGGUAAGCGUUGUUCGGAAUUACUGGGCGUAAAGGGCUCGUAGGCGGCCAACUAAGUCAUACGUGAAAUCCCUCAGCUUAACUGGGGAACUGCGUGUGAUACUGGAUGGCUUGGAUUUGGGAGAGGGAUGCGGAAUUCCAGGUGUAGCGGUGAAAUGCGUAGAUAUCUGGAGGAACACCGGUGGCGAAGGCGGCAUCCUGGACCGGCAUUGACGCUGAGUGAGCGAAAGCCAGGGGAGCAAACGGG